Non-coding RNA from Danio rerio (zebrafish), 210 nucleotides. Lineage: Eukaryota; Metazoa; Chordata; Actinopteri; Cypriniformes; Danionidae. The record is from RefSeq and is a predicted model, not a curated record.
GAAGAUGUGAAGAUUGAAGAAACAUUCACAGUCAAACAGGAAGAUCAGCAGAAACAACCAGCCACGCCUGUUGCUUCAGACUGCAGUUACCCAAACCUCCGAGAGCUCAAAUUGUGUUCCUGCUGCACAAGAGCAACUGUACUACUGCAUGUGAUGGUCAGCGGCUGAUUGUUUCCUGAAAGCUCUGCUAAUGUCUGCAUUGGUGUUUUA